This 598-nucleotide ribosomal RNA is filed under the name Auricularia auricula-judae (jelly ear fungus). RNAcentral describes it as "eukaryotic LSU rRNA". The stretch from base 188 to 341 matches the Rfam family "5.8S ribosomal RNA". Lineage: Eukaryota; Fungi; Basidiomycota; Agaricomycetes; Auriculariales; Auriculariaceae. The record is from RNAcentral.
UCCGUAGGUGAACCUGCGGAAGGAUCAUUAAAGAUUCUAAGGCUUCGGUCUUAAUUUCGGCUGUGCGCUCAGGCUGCACGCCGUUAACCUCUCACACCUGUGCACCUUUUCGGUUGUGGUUUCGGCCGCUUCCGCUCUUACAUGCAACCACGAAAAGUCUAGAAUGUGACGAGAACUAUAAAGUAACAACUUUCAACAACGGAUCUCUUGGCUCUCGCAUCGAUGAAGAACGCAGCGAAAUGCGAUAAGUAAUGUGAAUUGCAGAAUUCAGUGAAUCAUCGAAUCUUUGAACGCACCUUGCGCUCCUUGGUAUUCCAUGGAGCAUGCCUGUUUGAGUGUCACGUAAACCCUCGCCCCUGCGAUGUAACAGUCGCCUGCGGUGGACUUGGACCGUGCCGGUAAUCGGCUCGUCUUGAAAUGCAUUAGCUGGCGCUUUUAGAGUGCUGGGCGAACGGUGUGAUAAUUAUCUGCGCCGACUGCCCUGGGCCUCUUCAGCGGCGCUGCUUACAGCUGUCCCUCGUGGACAACUAUUUUAAAGCUUUGGCCUCAAAUCAGGUAGGACUACCCGCUGAACUUAAGCAUAUCAAUAAGCGGAGGA